UAAUAAUAUAUCGUAUGCUUAUUAUAAAUUAUUUAUUUUACAGGGUGCACACACGCGAAUUUAUUGUUUACAUUAAUUAUUACUAAUUUAUCCACGUUGAAUUUGUGUGCAUGCAAAUUGUAUAAUGUAUGAAUCAGAAGUCUUAAUCAAAAAGAUAUAACCUAUAAUUAUGUAAAAAAUAAAAAAUAUUUUCUUUGUAGAUAAUAUCAUUGCUGCCAUGCAAAAAGUGACUAAA
Non-coding RNA from Cinara cedri, 235 nucleotides. Lineage: Eukaryota; Metazoa; Arthropoda; Insecta; Hemiptera; Aphididae. The record is from the annotation of a GenBank genome assembly.